Molecule: long non-coding RNA, 968 nt
Filed under: Pan troglodytes (chimpanzee)
Lineage: Eukaryota; Metazoa; Chordata; Mammalia; Primates; Hominidae
Description: long non-coding RNA NONPTRT016090
Source: RNAcentral
CGAUGAUGAUGAUGAUGAUGACGAUGAUGAGAUGACAAUCAUUAUGAUGAAAGAGAAGGACCAAAGGAAAGAAAACAGGAAUGAGAGUGUUCCUAGUAAUGGAAAAGGAGAUUCCAUUCCCUUACCUGUGAAGUGCGGAUGGGUGUGUGGUUGCUGAGGUGCUGUCCAGCUUGGACAUCUAGGAAUUGUAUGAGCACCUUUGAUUGCCUUGCAUGCAGAAACAACUCUGAACCCAGCAGUGUUACUUAGAUUUCACAGAAAAGGGAGGCAGAGAGGAAGAUGUUAGUCAAGACAAGACCAGAACAAAACAAGCGGCCCUAUGUCUAAGUGUUGCUGACCACACUCCAGAAGCCAGAAUUUCUGCAAACUGAUCUUCAGCCCCAGUUCCAUACCCACAGACAUGGACUCCAUAUCCUCAGCAAAGCACAACAGGGGAAUAAUAAUAGCUCUGUCACGUUUAAUUUUCAAAGCAAAACUUUCUCCAUUUAGAAAAUGAGAAAAUUUCAACUCAGGGAGUUUCAGAAACUUUCCCAGGGUAUCGCAAAUGAAAAACAGUAGAGCCAGCAUUUGAACUCAGGCUGCCGGACUCCUUUACUGUGUGUUCGAAUCCACGCAGUGCUGCAAGACUUGACUAAUUCACCCUGAACACCCAUAACUGUCAGACGUCAGAGUCCAUUAAGAAGCUGGGAAUCAAUUAAUUAACAAUUGAUUAGAACUGUUACAAUGUAUUUAGGAUGCAUUUCUGUAUAGGGCUGAGCGUACAGAAAUUAGCCAGAUGUGGUACUUGGUUUCCAGGAACUAUUUACAGUAAAAAAGCAAACACUUAUGAAAUGCUUAUGAUGUUUUACAUGUAUUAAUUUUUUUAAAUAAUUGAACAACUCUGUGAGAGAGACAGUAUUAUGUCCCAAUUUUGGAAGAAGAGGAAACUAAGAGGUUAAUAACUUGCUCAAAGUCACAAAGCUGGUAAU